Molecule: ribosomal RNA, 274 nt
Filed under: uncultured bacterium
Lineage: Bacteria
Description: partial 16S ribosomal RNA
Rfam family: Bacterial small subunit ribosomal RNA
Source: RNAcentral
AAACGAGUGCCCCAAGCGUUAUCCGGAAUCACUGGGCGUAAAGGGUGCGUAGGCGGUCUUAUUAGUCUUUUGUUAAAGGCUCGGGCUCAACCCGAGAAACGCAAAGGAAACGGUAAGACUAGAGGAUGUGAGAGGUGUACGGAACUCACAGUGUAGGGGUGAAAUCCGUUGAUAUUGUGGGGAACACCAAAUGCGAAGGCAGUACACUGGCACAUUCCUGACGCUGAGGCACGAAAGCGUGGGUAGCGAAUGGGAUUAGAAACCCUAGUAGUCC